UUAAGCGACUAAGCGUACACGGUGGAUGCCCUGGCAGUCAGAGGCGAUGAAGGACGUGCUAAUCUGCGAUAAGCGUCGGUAAGGUGAUAUGAACCGUUAUAACCGGCGAUUUCCGAAUGGGGAAACCCAGUGUGUUUCGACACACUAUCAUUAACUGAAUCCAUAGGUUAAUGAGGCGAACCGGGGGAACUGAAACAUCUAAGUACCCCGAGGAAAAGAAAUCAACCGAGAUUCCCCCAGUAGCGGCGAGCGAACGGGGAGCAGCCCAGAGCCUGAAUCAGUGUGUGUGUUAGUGGAAGCGUCUGGAAAGGCGCGCGAUACAGGGUGACAGCCCCGUACACAAAAAUGCACAUGCUGUGAGCUCGAUGAGUAGGGCGGGACACGUGGUAUCCUGUCUGAAUAUGGGGGGACCAUCCUCCAAGGCUAAAUACUCCUGACUGACCGAUAGUGAACCAGUACCGUGAGGGAAAGGCGAAAAGAACCCCGGCGAGGGGAGUGAAAAAGAACCUGAAACCGUGUACGUACAAGCAGUGGGAGCACGCUUAGGCGUGUGACUGCGUACCUUUUGUAUAAUGGGUCAGCGACUUAUAUUUUGUAGCAAGGUUAACCGAAUAGGGGAGCCGAAGGGAAACCGAGUCUUAACUGGGCGUUAAGUUGCAGGGUAUAGACCCGAAACCCGGUGAUCUAGCCAUGGGCAGGUUGAAGGUUGGGUAACACUAACUGGAGGACCGAACCGACUAAUGUUGAAAAAUUAGCGGAUGACUUGUGGCUGGGGGGGAAAGGCCAAUCAAACCGGGAGAUAGCUGGUUCUCCCCGAAAGCUAUUUAGGUAGCGCCUCGUGAAUUCAUCUCCGGGGGUAGAGCACUGUUUCGGCAAGGGGGUCAUCCCGACUUACCAACCCGAUGCAAACUGCGAAUACCGGAGAAUGUUAUCACGGGAGACACACGGCGGGUGCUAACGUCCGUCGUGAAGAGGGAAACAACCCAGACCGCCAGCUAAGGUCCCAAAGUCAUGGUUAAGUGGGAAACGAUGUGGGAAGGCCCAGACAGCCAGGAUGUUGGCUUAGAAGCAGCCAUCAUUUAAAGAAAGCGUAAUAGCUCACUGGUCGAGUCGGCCUGCGCGGAAGAUGUAACGGGGCUAAACCAUGCACCGAAGCUGCGGCAGCGACGCUGAUGCGUUGUUGGGUAGGGGAGCGUUCUGUAAGCCUGCGAAGGUGUGCUGUGAGGCAUGCUGGAGGUAUCAGAAGUGCGAAUGCUGACAUAAGUAACGAUAAAGCGGGUGAAAAGCCCGCUCGCCGGAAGACCAAGGGUUCCUGUCCAACGUUAAUCGGGGCAGGGUGAGUCGACCCCUAAGGCGAGGCCGAAAGGCGUAGUCGAUGGGAAACAGGUUAAUAUUCCUGUACUUGGUGUUACUGCGAAGGGGGGACGGAGAAGGCUAUGUUGGCCGGGCGACGGUUGUCCCGGUUUAAGCGUGUAGGCUGGUUUUCCAGGCAAAUCCGGAAAAUCAAGGCUGAGGCGUGAUGACGAGGCACUACGGUGCUGAAGCAACAAAUGCCCUGCUUCCAGGAAAAGCCUCUAAGCAUCAGGUAACAUCAAAUCGUACCCCAAACCGACACAGGUGGUCAGGUAGAGAAUACCAAGGCGCUUGAGAGAACUCGGGUGAAGGAACUAGGCAAAAUGGUGCCGUAACUUCGGGAGAAGGCACGCUGAUAUGUAGGUGAAGUCCCUUGCGGAUGGAGCUGAAAUCAGUCGAAGAUACCAGCUGGCUGCAACUGUUUAUUAAAAACACAGCACUGUGCAAACACGAAAGUGGACGUAUACGGUGUGACGCCUGCCCGGUGCCGGAAGGUUAAUUGAUGGGGUCAGCGCAAGCGAAGCUCUUGAUCGAAGCCCCGGUAAACGGCGGCCGUAACUAUAACGGUCCUAAGGUAGCGAAAUUCCUUGUCGGGUAAGUUCCGACCUGCACGAAUGGCGUAAUGAUGGCCAGGCUGUCUCCACCCGAGACUCAGUGAAAUUGAACUCGCUGUGAAGAUGCAGUGUACCCGCGGCAAGACGGAAAGACCCCGUGAACCUUUACUAUAGCUUGACACUGAACAUUGAGCCUUGAUGUGUAGGAUAGGUGGGAGGCUUGGAAGUGUGGACGCCAGUCUGCAUGGAGCCGACCUUGAAAUACCACCCUUUAAUGUUUGAUGUUCUAACGUUGACCCGUAAUCCGGGUUGCGGACAGUGUCUGGUGGGUAGUUUGACUGGGGCGGUCUCCUCCUAAAGAGUAACGGAGGAGCACGAAGGUUGGCUAAUCCUGGUCGGACAUCAGGAGGUUAGUGCAAUGGCAUAAGCCAGCUUGACUGCGAGCGUGACGGCGCGAGCAGGUGCGAAAGCAGGUCAUAGUGAUCCGGUGGUUCUGAAUGGAAGGGCCAUCGCUCAACGGAUAAAAGGUACUCCGGGGAUAACAGGCUGAUACCGCCCAAGAGUUCAUAUCGACGGCGGUGUUUGGCACCUCGAUGUCGGCUCAUCACAUCCUGGGGCUGAAGUAGGUCCCAAGGGUAUGGCUGUUCGCCAUUUAAAGUGGUACGCGAGCUGGGUUUAGAACGUCGUGAGACAGUUCGGUCCCUAUCUGCCGUGGGCGCUGGAGAACUGAGGGGGGCUGCUCCUAGUACGAGAGGACCGGAGUGGACGCAUCACUGGUGUUCGGGUUGUCAUGCCAAUGGCACUGCCCGGUAGCUAAAUGCGGAAGAGAUAAGUGCUGAAAGCAUCUAAGCACGAAACUUGCCCCGAGAUGAGUUCUCCCUGACCCUUUAAGGGUCCUGAAGGAACGUUGAAGACGACGACGUUGAUAGGCCGGGUGUGUAAGCGCAGCGAUGCGUUGAGCUAACCGGUACUAAUGAACCGUGAGGCUUAACCUU
This 2902-nucleotide ribosomal RNA is filed under the name Escherichia coli KTE132. RNAcentral describes it as "bacterial LSU rRNA". It matches the Rfam family "Bacterial large subunit ribosomal RNA". Lineage: Bacteria; Pseudomonadati; Pseudomonadota; Gammaproteobacteria; Enterobacterales; Enterobacteriaceae. The record is from RNAcentral.